CGGAUUCUGGUAAUUAUACCAUCCGGUGAAUGGCUGGGCUCAAGAGCCGAUGAAGGACGUGCCAAGCUGCGAAAAGCCUCGGCGAGGUGCAUGGAGCCUUUGAACCGAGGAUUUCCUAAUAGGACAUCCAAACACAUCUGUGUUGAUCAGUCAUGAUCGGGAACGCCCCGAACUGAAACAUCUUAGUAGGGGCAGGAAAAGAAAUCAAUUGAGAUGCCGUAAGUAACGGCGAGUGAAACCGGUAGAGUUCAAACUGAAUCCCUCCGGAAACGGAAGGGACAUGUGGUGUUAUAAGCCCGGUCAAUUACAGUCCCAGUCGAUGAAGUCGAACUUGUCUGGAACGUCAGACCAUAGAGUGUGAAAGUCACGUAGACGUAAAUCGAGGGAUUGUGACCGGUGUCUUGAGUACCGUGGGUCGGAAAUCCCGCGGGAAUUUGGGAGGCAUCAACUUCCAAAACUAAAUACAUCUUGAGACCGAUAGCGUAAUAGUAGGGUGACCGAAAGCUGAAAAGUACCCCAAGAAGGGAGGUGCAAAGUGCCUGAAAUCGGAUGGUGAUAGAGCGAUAUAGCGUGAAAGGAUCUGCACCAUGAAGGAAUCAGUCGCGAGGCUGUAGUACGAAUGGUGUUGCCGGCGUUAUAUCAUACGUUUUGAAGAACGGGCCAGGGAGUGUAUUCAAGUGGCGAGGUUAACAAAUUAAAUUUGGUUAGCCUAAGCGAAAGCAACAAGCGCACAACCUUCGGGUGAGGCGCGGCGUAUACAAGUGCGUGGAGUCACUAGGAUACUACCCGAAUCCUAGCGAUCUAGGCGUGGGCAGGCUGAAGCGUGGGGAAACCUACGUGGAGGGCCGCAAGCGGUAUUGAUCUGCAAAUCAUUCGCGUGACCUGUGUCUAGGGGUGAAAGGCCAAUCGAGCUAGGUUAUAGCUGGUUCCUUCCGAAACAUGUCGCAGCAUGGCCUGACUGGAGAUAGUCGGCGGAGUAGAGCACUGAAUGGGGAACCCGGGGAAGAAAUUCCUCGAUCCCCUCUCAAACUCCAAAACCGCCGUCGUCGUAGAAAGUCGGAGUCCGGGCUACGGGGUAAGCCUGUAGUCCGUGAGGGAGACAACCCAGACCAUGGUUAAGGUCCCCAAGUGUCGGCUAAGUGUCAACACUAAAGGGUGUCCUAAGCCCAAGACAGCUGGAAGGUGAGCUUAGAAGCAGCUAUCCUCUAAGGAGUGCGUAACAGCCCACCAGUCGAGGUUUAGGGCCCCGAAAAUGGACGGGGCUCAAGCCGACCACCGAUACCAUGGAACACAGCAAUGUGAUUUUAUAGGAAGGCAAUCCGUUUGGGCAGAAGUAGGGCCGUGAGGUCCUGUGGACCAUUCGGAUAUGAAAAUCCUGGCAGUAGUAACAGCAAAGUCGGGUGAGAAUCCCGAUCGCCGAAGGGGCUAGGUUUCCUCGGCAAUGAUCGUCAGCCGAGGGUUAGUCGAUCCUAAGAUGUACCGUAAGUCGAGUACAUCGAAAGGGAAACAGGUUAAUAUUCCUGUACCGUUUUGGCAAUUAAACUGACGCAUCCGGGUAGGUUGAGCAGUCAUAUGUCAGGCUGUCUAAGCACCGAAACUUGUGGAGAGCCGUAAUGGUGAGAAGCAAGUGAAUGUGUAAUGGCGAAAGUCAACUUAUCCCAGGUGACCGUGAAAAGGGAGCCAAAAUGAUCGUACCGAGAACUGACACAGGUGCCCCUAGCUGAAAAGGCUAAGGCGUGUCGGAAUUACACUGGCUAAGGGAAUUCGGCAAAUUAGCUCCGUAACUUCGGAAGAAGGAGUGCCUGCCGUGAAGACGGCAGGUCGCAGUGACCAGGGAGCUCUAACUGUUUAAUACAAACAUAGCUGACCGCAACUCCGAAAGGACUAGUACGGUCAGUGAAUCCUGCCCAGUGCAGGUACCUGAAAACCCGGUUCAACGGGGCGAAGGGCCUGUCAACGGCGGGGGUAACUAUGACCCUCUUAAGGUAGCGUAGUACCUUGCCGCUUAAUUGGCGGCUUGCAUGAAUGGAUCAAUGAGAGCUCUACUGUCCCUAGCCAGAAUCCGGUGAACUUUACAUUCUAGUGCAGAGUCUAGAGACCUCUAGGGGGAAGUGAAGACCCCGUAGAGCUUUACUGCAGCCUGCAGUUGGGUUGUGAUUUUGGAUGUACAGUAUAGGUAGGAGGCAUCGAAACCCCGGCGCCAGCCGGGGUGGAGCCGCCAAUGGGAUACUACCCUUUCAAGAUUACGGCCCUAACUCAGAGAUGAGGACCCCUGUAGGUGGGCAGUUUGGGUGGGGCGCCACGCCCUUGAAAAGAUAUCAAGGGCGCCCAAAGGUUGACUCAAGUGGGUCGGAAACCCACUGAAGAGUGCAAGAGCAUAAGUCAGCCUUACGUGAUUUCGCAAAGCAAGGAAUCGCGAGACGAAAGUCGGGUCUAGCGAACCAAUGUACCUCCUUGAUGGGGGUCAUUGACUACAGAAAAGCUACCUCAGGGAUAACAGAGUCGUUUCCGGCAAGAGCACAUAUCGACCCGGAAGCUUGCUACCUCGAUGUCGGUUCUUUCCAUCCUGGCCGUGCAGCAGCGGCCAAGGGUGAGGUUGUUCGCCUAUUAAAGGAGAUCGUGAGCUGGGUUUAGACCGUCGUGAGACAGGUCGGUUACUAUCUACUAGAGGUGUUCGUUGUCUGAAGGAAAGUUGCAUUCAGUACGAGAGGAACUAUGCAACGGUGCCACUGGUCGAUCGGUUGUCCGGCAGGGCAAUGCCGAGCAGCUACGCACCAAGGGAUAAGGGCUGAAAGCAUCUAAGCCCGAAACCCAUCCUGAAAAGAGACAACAUUAAGGACACUCAUAAAAGAUGAGGUUGAUAGAGUCGGGAUGUACGCACCAAGGCAACGAGGUGUUUAGUCCGCGGCUACUAAUAGUCCGUACCACUCCUG
RNAcentral lists this ribosomal RNA (2933 nucleotides) under uncultured archaeon. Its description in RNAcentral is "bacterial LSU rRNA". It matches the Rfam family "Archaeal large subunit ribosomal RNA". The record is from RNAcentral.